GCAGUCGUACGCAUUCCCGUUUUUGAUUGAAGGUGCUUGCACCUGAUUGAUAAAACAUCGGAAUGAGUGGCGGACGGGUGAGUAACACGUGGGUAACCUGCCCAGAAGUGGGGGAUAACAUUUGGAAACAGAUGCUAAUACCGCAUAAUAGAUAGAACCACAUGGUUCUAUUUUGAAAGAUGGCCUUUGUGCUAUCACUUCUGGAUGGACCCGCGGUGUAUUAGCUAGUUGGUAAGGUAACGGCUUACCAAGGCAAUGAUACAUAGCCGAACUGAGAGGUUGAUCGGCCACAAUGGGACUGAGACACGGCCCAUACUCCUACGGGAGGCAGCAGUAGGGAAUCUUCCACAAUGGGCGCAAGCCUGAUGGAGCAACACCGCGUGAGUGAAGAAGGGUUUCGGCUCGUAAAACUCUGUUGUUAAAGAAGAACGUAUCUAAGAGUAACUGCUUAGGUAGUGACGGUAUUUAACCAGAAAGCCACGGCUAACUACGUGCCAGCAGCCGCGGUAAUACGUAGGUGGCAAGCGUUAUCCGGAUUUAUUGGGCGUAAAGCGAGCGCAGGCGGUUUUUUAAGUCUGAUGUGAAAGCCUUCGGCUUAACCGAAGAAGUGCAUCGGAAACUGGGAAACUUGAGUGCAGA
This 639-nucleotide ribosomal RNA is filed under the name Paucilactobacillus vaccinostercus. Its description in RNAcentral is "bacterial SSU rRNA". It matches the Rfam family "Bacterial small subunit ribosomal RNA", at positions 57 to 652 of the family's 1533-position model. The record is from RNAcentral. Lineage: Bacteria; Bacillati; Bacillota; Bacilli; Lactobacillales; Lactobacillaceae.